Rhipicephalus microplus (southern cattle tick) is the source of this 261-nucleotide long non-coding RNA. Lineage: Eukaryota; Metazoa; Arthropoda; Arachnida; Ixodida; Ixodidae. The record is from RefSeq and is a predicted model, not a curated record.
AAUAAAGAGAGAAUGCUUAGCGGACCUGAGCGACCACUUCAACGCAAUGCUGAUGUUGUACGACGAGGGUCUCCAAGGAGAUGACAAGGCACUGGCCAAUGCCCUUUGGCGUGUGCUUCUUACCUGUGAAGGCAGGGAUCCCGUGGCAUUGGAGACUCUUGUGCACUAUGUGCGAAAACAGGUUAAUAUGCUCGACAAGAUGACACUGGAUCAGUUUUUAACGGAAUACAACGUAAGCUGGACACCGCUGUGGACUGUGAG